UACAAGGUGUAGUAAUAACUGAGUUAGUCCUCACUUACAAUGUGUAGUAAUAACAGAGUUAGUCCUCACUUACAACUUGCAGUAAUAACAUAGUUAGUCCCCCACUUACAAUGUGUAGUAAUAACAGAGUUAAUCCUCACUUACAACGUGCAGUAAUAACAUAGUUAGUCCUCACUUAUAAUGUGCAGUAAUAACAUAAUUAGUGCCCCACUUACAAUGUGCAGUAAUAACAGAGUUAGUGCUCACUUACAACGUGCAGUAAUAACAUAGUUAGUCCUCACUUACAAUGUGCAGUAAUAACAUAGUUAGUCCUCACUUACAAUGUGCAGUAAUAACAGAGUUAGUCCUCACUUAAAAUGUGCAGUAAUAACAUAGUCAGUCCUCACUCACAAUGUGUAGCAAUAACAGAGUUAGUCCCCACUCACAAUGUAUAGUUAAAACAGAGUUAGUCCUCACUUACAAUGUGCAGUAAUAACAUAGCUAGUCCUCACUUACAAUGUGCAGUAAUAACAGACUUAGUCCCAACUCACAAUGUAUAGUUAUAACAGAGUUAGUCCUCACUUACAACGUGCAGUAAUAACAUAGUUAGUCCUCACUUACAAUGUGUAGUAUUAAAAGAGUUAGUCCUCACUUACGGUGUGUAGUAAUAACAAGGUAAGUCCCCACUAACAAUGUAUAGUUAUAACAGAGUUAGUCCCCACUUAAUCCAUCAUGUAUUGCUCGCUUCAUUGACUGAAAGAAAUUUGAUGUCUGAAGUCGAAAAAUACUUUUAGUAUUAAUAUGUUCAAACCGAUAUGUUUCAUCACAGGGUUAAAGAAGUCAACAAUGGCUAGCGGCUUAGAAACUUCAUUUGGUGGGGUCAGGCAGCUUCUUGUGCGGGCGGGUUCACUCCACCUUGUGGGAGUGGGUAUGCUGCAUUUUGUGGGGGCGGGUACGUUC
Long non-coding RNA from Haliotis rubra (blacklip abalone), 939 nucleotides. RefSeq lists it as uncharacterized. The transcript is spliced from 3 exons. NCBI's taxonomy places the organism in Eukaryota, Metazoa, Mollusca, Gastropoda, Lepetellida, Haliotidae. The record is from RefSeq and is a predicted model, not a curated record.